RNAcentral lists this transfer RNA (73 nucleotides) under Nelumbo nucifera (sacred lotus). It matches the Rfam family "tRNA". From Rfam's summary of the family: Transfer RNA (tRNA) molecules are approximately 80 nucleotides in length. Their secondary structure includes four short double-helical elements and three loops (D, anti-codon, and T loops). Further hydrogen bonds mediate the characteristic L-shaped molecular structure. tRNAs have two regions of fundamental functional importance: the anti-codon, which is responsible for specific mRNA codon recognition, and the 3' end, to which the tRNAs corresponding amino acid is attached (by aminoacyl-tRNA synthetases). tRNAs cope with the degeneracy of the genetic code in two manners: having more than one tRNA (with a specific anti-codon) for a particular amino acid; and 'wobble' base-pairing, i.e. permitting non-standard base-pairing at the 3rd anti-codon position. The record is from Rfam by way of RNAcentral. Lineage: Eukaryota; Viridiplantae; Streptophyta; Magnoliopsida; Proteales; Nelumbonaceae.
GGGGAUGUAGCUAAAAUAGUAGAGCGCUCGCUUUGAUUGCAAGAGGUACGGGGUUCGAUACCCCGCAUCUCCA